AGCUGAUCCGGGACGGAGCCGGCGCGCGGCGGGGGGAGGCGGCGGCACCGGCACCGGCACCGGGCACGGCCGGGCGGCACCGGCACCGGCGGGGCGGCGGCGCCGGGCCGAGCCGAGCCGAACCCAGCCGAGCCGCGCAGGUGCUGCCGUGCCACCCUGCUCCUGGCUAACCAGCACCAGUUCUUCAGUGGCAAGCUUUAUGUCCUUCUCCAGUAGCUAAAGCUGCCAGUUGAAGAACUGUUGAAUGUAGCCACUCUCUUCUCGUCACUGGGACCUUGGAUGCCAGCCAGAGCCGUGCCAUGAGCCACUCUGCAGAGUCCCGUGGAUUGGAGGGCUGAGGAUGAGUCUGACCAGGAUGAAGAAAGUCUCCUCGGAGCCUCCAGACAGAGCCUUGGCUGGAGGAUUGUAGAGGCAGCUGUGCCAGAAGGGAUGCCAAACUCUGUCUCCCCCUCAGUGGGGUGGCACCGAGCUGGGAGGAGGCUGAGAGAAGCAUUAAACGUUGUUUUCCUCA
Molecule: RNA transcript, 511 nt
Organism: Lonchura striata (white-rumped munia)
Lineage: Eukaryota; Metazoa; Chordata; Aves; Passeriformes; Estrildidae
Source: RefSeq, a predicted model, not a curated record